AUUGAACGCUGGCGGCAUGCCUUACACAUGCAAGUCGAACGGCAGCACGGGGGCAACCCUGGUGGCGAGUGGCGAACGGGUGAGUAACACAUCGGAACGUGCCCAGUAGUGGGGGAUAGCUCGGCGAAAGCCGGAUUAAUACCGCAUACGACCUACGGGUGAAAGCGGGGGACUUUCGGGCCUCGCGCUAUUAGAUGAGCCUAAGUCCGAUUAGCUAGUUGGUAGGGUAAUGGCCUACCAAGGCGACGAUCGGUAGCUGGUCUGAGAGGACGACCAGCCACACUGGGACUGAGACACGGCCCAGACUCCUACGGGAGGCAGCAGUGGGGAAUAUUGGACAAUGGGCGCAAGCCUGAUCCAGCGAUGCCGCGUGUGUGAAGAAGGCCUGCGGGUUGUAAACCUCUUUCAGCAGGGACGAAGCGAAAGUGACGGUACCUGCAGAAGAAGCACCGGCCAACUACGUGCCAGCAG
This 471-nucleotide ribosomal RNA is filed under the name uncultured bacterium. RNAcentral's name for it is "bacterial SSU rRNA". It matches the Rfam family "Bacterial small subunit ribosomal RNA", at positions 29 to 514 of the family's 1533-position model. The record is from RNAcentral.